UGAAUCUUCUCUUUAAGGACGCUGUCUCCAAAUACAGUGACUUUCUGAGGUACCAAGGGAUAAGACUUCAACCUCUGAAUGUGGGCUGGGAGCCUCCUGGGAUCAAAUCCAGUGCUCGUUCCAGGGGGUGAAGAAACCAAGGUGCCCCAAAGACAAGGAACUGACCCAGAAUCCUGCAGAUGGCAGGCAGCAGAACAAGGAUCCUGUCGGGUGUCUUUCCAGGCCACAGUCUUCAUCAUCAUUAUCAUCAUCAUUGAGUAGUAUCUCAUGAGGCCACUGCACUGUGCAAGGAAUGAGUCUGGAGAAGAGCCACAGGAAAACCCUGUCUGUGGGGGACUCUGUCUUGAUCACCAUCUAUCUAUGUAGGAGGCUACAUCAUGAGGUCCUCUAAACUUUCCACCAAUCAAAGAAGCUAUUGACAUUUGUUUGGAGUUGACGUCACAGUCUCAGAAACUUUUGAAACAUGUCCACAUGAAUUCUGAAUUAUGCAAAGAUUUGGUAAAUUUUUUAAAUAAAUGUAUUUUUUUAGGAUAUCCCAGAAAUAAAGCUACACCAAGA
This is a long non-coding RNA of Talpa occidentalis (Iberian mole), 558 nucleotides long. RefSeq lists it as uncharacterized. NCBI's taxonomy places the organism in Eukaryota, Metazoa, Chordata, Mammalia, Eulipotyphla, Talpidae. The transcript is spliced from 4 exons. The record is from RefSeq and is a predicted model, not a curated record.